This 443-nucleotide ribosomal RNA is filed under the name uncultured bacterium. Its description in RNAcentral is "partial 16S ribosomal RNA". It matches the Rfam family "Bacterial small subunit ribosomal RNA", at positions 338 to 795 of the family's 1533-position model. The record is from RNAcentral.
CCUACGGGUGGCAGCAGUGGGGGAUAUUGGACAAUGGGGGAAACCCUGAUCCAGCGACGCCGCGUGAGUGAAGAAGUCUUUCUGUAUGUAAAGCUCUGUCAGCAGGGAAGAAAGACAUGACGGUACCUGACCACGACGCCCCGGCUAACUACGUGCCAGCAGCCGCGGUAAUACGUAGGGGGCAAGCGUUAUCCGGAAUUACUGGGUGUAAAGGGAGCGUAGACGGUGAUGCAAGUCUGGAGUGAAAGGCGGGGGCCCAACCCCCGGACUGCUCUGGAAACUGUGGAACUUGAGUGCAGGAGAGGUAAGCGGAAUUCCUAGUGUAGCGGUGAAAUGCGUAGAUAUUAGGAGGAACACCAGUGGCGAAGGCGGCUUACUGGACUGUAACUGACGUUGAGGCUCGAAAGCGUGGGGAGCAAACAGGAUUAGAUACCCGAGUAGUC